ACAGCAGUCGCCGCGGUAAUACGGAGGGUGCAAGCGUUAAUCGGAAUUACUGGGCGUAAAGCGCACGCAGGCGGUCUGACAAGUCAGAUGUGAAAUCCCCGGGCUUAACCUGGGAACUGCAUUUGAAACUGUCAGGCUGGAGUCUUGUAGAGGGGGGUAGAAUUCCAGGUGUAGCGGUGAAAUGCGUAGAGAUCUGGAGGAAUACCGGUGGCGAAGGCGGCCCCCUGGACAAAGACUGACGCUCAGGUGCGAAAGCGUGGGGAGCAAACAGGAUUAGAUACCCCUGUAGUCCCUGUCUCUUAUCC
RNAcentral lists this ribosomal RNA (305 nucleotides) under uncultured bacterium. RNAcentral describes it as "partial 16S ribosomal RNA". It matches the Rfam family "Bacterial small subunit ribosomal RNA", at positions 508 to 809 of the family's 1533-position model. The record is from RNAcentral.